This 659-nucleotide ribosomal RNA is filed under the name Bakerella rotundifrons. RNAcentral's name for it is "eukaryotic LSU rRNA". It matches the Rfam family "Eukaryotic large subunit ribosomal RNA", at positions 1309 to 1832 of the family's 3401-position model. Lineage: Eukaryota; Metazoa; Arthropoda; Insecta; Hemiptera; Delphacidae. The record is from RNAcentral.
GCCCUGAAAAUGGAUGGCGCUCUAGCGUCGUGCUUAUACCGAGCCGUCAACGGCACAGUGGGCAGCUGUGGAUUUAUCUACUAGCUGCCGUUAAGUCUUGACGAGUAAGAGGGUCACGACGGUGAGCGCAGAAGGGUCGGGGCGUGAGCCUGCCUGGAGCCGCCGUUGGUGCAGAUCUUGGUGGUAGUAGCAAAUACUCUAGCGAGGGCCUGGAGGACUGACGUGGAGAAGGGUUUCUUGUGAACAGCCGUUGCACAAGAGUCAGUCGACCCUAAGCCCUAGGAGAAAUCCGAUGCCGAUGGGUGGCUUAACAUAUGACAUGAGUCAUGAUACAGACCACAGACUGUGACUGUUGUGCUUCACAACUGAAACAGCUCCUUUCGGGCGAAAGGGAAUCCGGUUCCUAUUCCGGAACCUGGCUGCGUAACCGCUACUUUGCGGGCACUUGUUCGCGAGCGCUCGUCGGGGUAACCCAAACUGGCCUGGAGACGCCGGCGGGGGGUCUGGAAAGAGUUUUCUUUUCUUUAUAAGCGUUCGAGUACCCUGGAAUUCUAUAGCAGAGAGAUAGGGUUUGGAACGCGAAGAGCACCGCAGUUGCGGCGGUGUCCGGACCUUCCCCCCGGACCUUGAAAAUCCAGGUGAGGGCCACGCGGAAGUCG